This 1064-nucleotide long non-coding RNA is filed under the name Homo sapiens (human). RNAcentral's name for it is "HSALNT0365286". Lineage: Eukaryota; Metazoa; Chordata; Mammalia; Primates; Hominidae. The record is from RNAcentral.
CUGCUCCCACGCUGUUGGGGCGGGGGCGGGGGGGGGGUUGUUCUUUUGCUCCUUGGGUCCACACUGCGUUUAUGAGCUGUAAUAUUCACCGCAAAGGUCUGCAGCUUCACUACUAAGCCAACGAGACCACAAACCCACCAGGAGGAACGACAAUUCCAGACGCGUGGCUUUAACAGCUGUUAACACUCACCGCGAAGGUCUGUAGCUUCAUUUCUGAGUCAGCGAGACCACGAACCCACCAGAAAGAAGAAACUCCGAACACACCCGAACCUCAGAAGGAACAAAUUCCGGACACGCCGCCUUUAAGAACUGUAACACUCACCACAAGGGUCCGCGGCUUCAUUCUUGAAGUCAGUGAGACCAAGAACCCACUAAUUCCGGACACACUUUGACCAGCAGAGCAGGCAGAAGUAAAGCCACGGUUCACAGAAGUGGCUGCCCCGGCUGGACACAGGCUCAAUCUUGCUGGAAUCUGUCCUCUUACUCCCCUACCCCAGCCCAGUGCCCCACCAGCGUGCUCCACUCAGCAUCCUGAUUUUCCCUGGAAUGUGCCACUUUGCCACCAUUUCCCUUUCAACAGAUGGAAUAUAGCAAGUUCGCUUUCUGUAUCAAUCAUGUCACAAAUCAUUAAGCAUAUCGACAUCAAGCAGAGCCAGCCUGUGUAGUCGCAAAGGGGUCGGGUGUUCUUCCACUGCCGAGCAGGAACCCUUCCCCAGACCACAGCUUUAACAGCCGAUCUUCAGAAGCCAGAGACAGGAGGUCCUGACAAAGGGCAGUCCAGCUCUGCAUUCAUCUAACAGCAAAAGCUGGUUGCACAGCCACCCAGGGCUUCCACAGCCUCCCCCAACGCCAGUGCCCUGGGUCCAAGAGCAGAAUCUCAGUGUUCCUGCAGAAGUCACCAUGGAAGAAUAAUCGUGUUGUGAUUUUGAAAGGAAAUUGAAAUCCCCUCUUUACUGCUUUCUAAAUGAACCUUAUAAUUUUCUCCCUGUCUACAACCUCCCUGUGCACUGGCUUCUCUGUAUCUGUGUGCAUAUUUGUGCGAGAGAGAGUGAGCUCAGUUCUAG